Brassica rapa (field mustard) is the source of this 4448-nucleotide long non-coding RNA. RefSeq lists it as uncharacterized. The record is from RefSeq and is a predicted model, not a curated record. NCBI's taxonomy places the organism in Eukaryota, Viridiplantae, Streptophyta, Magnoliopsida, Brassicales, Brassicaceae.
AAUAUAUACAUAUCUAUUUUAAAUACAAUUUAAAAUAAACAAAAUUAUUUAUUUUAUCUUAAUUUUAUGUUCAAUUAAAUAAUUUUUUUUAUUUAAUUAUUGAAAAGAAAAUAAUGAAAUAGGAAAAAUAUAAUAUUUUUUAAAAAAAAUUAAAUUUUUGUCACUGCACAUGGACAUGGUGCAGAAAAACACAUAGUAAAUUACUCCCUCUGUUUUUAAAAGAUGUAUAUUCUAAACUUUUCACAUAUAUUAAGAAAACUCAUUAAAUAUGCAUUGUUUUUUGUGAAUAAUACUUUUUUAUAACUUUUAGCCAAUAGAAAUUCAAUAAACACCAUUAAUUUUUUUAAAACUUACAAUUUUUCAUAAAAUUAUACAUUGAAAAAGUAAAAAAUGUAUCUUUUUGAAACAACUUUAAGGAUCAAAAUGACUAAAAUUUUUCAUUACCUACCCUCAUGUGACUAAUAUUACCUUUUUAAUGAAACAUUUUAGUCAUUUUGAUCCUUAGAGUCUAUAUUUGUAACAAAAACGUUUUUAGUGAUAUCCUAGGAUAUUUCCCUUGAUUAUAUUAAUUAAUUAUUUUGGGGGUUCAUGAAUUUUUGAAAAUCCACUAAUCACUUGCAAGUUCAAAUACUAAUGAAAUCAAUAGUUUGAUUAACAAUUUAAAAUUAUUUAGUUAUUAACUUACAUUGUAUCUCUUAGUGUAAUAUCGAUUUUGAAGGGGCUUUUUUUUAGCAUUAGGAUUUUGUAAAAGUCUAAGACUAACAAUUUGUUUUAUUAUAUCUGCGUAAGAGAAAUAUAAGAAUACAAGUUUUUGAAAUAAGACACUUCAAAUAGCAGAAAAUUCUUGUAUAUAAAAGAAAAGCUUACCAACUAACAAAUUCUUGUUGAUGUUUCAAGUUAUAAAAUAUGUAAAAUUGGUAUAAUCUUUUCUGCAUCUCUAUUGGAAAAUUUUCUUAGACAUCCAUAUAAACAGUUCAAUAAAAACAUAUAUUAAACGGUAUGGAGUGGUCCUAAAAUCACCAGAGUAAGAAAAUGAUUUUAAGUGUUUUAAUAGUUUUUUAUUUCCUUUCUGCUAAUUUAUUGUUGAAUUUAAUAACCCAAUUGUCACCUUCUACCAUUGCAUAAAUAUGAUUCUUUGAAUAAUUGAAGAACUAGGCUGUUAUUUUAAAAUAAUAGCAAAUAUAAGUUAGGAGUUUCCUAGAAUCGAAGAAUUAAACAAUAAUUUAUGUAAUUGCAGGAUUAGCAGAAGUUACAAAUUUAAAGUUUAGAAAUACCUCAUAUUUAAUCAAACAAUCACACUAUAAAUAGUUCAGUUGAGAUAUUUUUUUACAAGAGCCUCAUGGUAUUUAUUUUCAUCUUGCAUGUAUACAAAGAUGGAUAAAAUUCUCUGAUAUUAAAUAUAAUAGUUGUUUUCGACAAAAAUACAUAAUAUUUAUGAAUAAGUUAGAUUCUAAGAUAUAGAUAAAUUUGUUGAUGGUUUAAAUUUGAAAGAAUUGGUUGUUUGUUUAUAUAGAUACUAGUGUUCUUCCGUGCUAUGAACGGAUCAAUUUCACUGUUUAUUAAAUUACUUGAUCACGAAUUAAUUAUAUCUUUCACUAAAAAUUAUUAUUCUAGUCAAAUAUUCGACAAAAAUGAUAAGAGAUGGCUGCACUCGAACUAAGUAGUUGCAUUUAGCUAGAAAUUUUUUAUCACCUUUCUCUAGGAUUCAUCAUCGUCCCAGUUCCGAAGAUCCCUAUUUUUUUUGUAGUGGCAACGCUUAUUAUUCUAUUUUCGUAUAAAGAUGAUUCACGAUUCUCUAAUUUGAUGAAAAAUCUUUAGAAGCAUUAGUUGUUUUUUGUAUCCCUUUUCCCCUUCCUCACUAACAAUUAAGAUCUUUAUACUUUCUCUACUCUCUACUCUGUCUCUUGAUAUGGCAAUCUAAAGUUGACCUUGAAUAAAACGGUUCUGGAAAAUAUAUUCAACACGAUGAACUCUGACCUUGGCUAAAAUAGAUGUAAGAACUUAAAGAUAUUAUAUGCACUAUUAGAAUAAUAGAUUGGUAGCAUAUGGUGUAGUAUUGUUGGUAUUUUUAGGGCUAUUUAGCAAGAAUGUGGGGGUUUUAUGCGUGUUACAAGUCUGAACAGAUUGUGUUUCCAACAUAGUACAGUAAAAAAUCUAUAAAUUAGUAAUGUUGAGAUUGUAAUAUUUUAUUAAUUUAUAGAGUUAUUAAUUUACAAAAAAAAUUCUUUUAGAUUUUUCCUGUUUUUGAAUAUUUUUACUUAUAAAAUAAGAAAUAGAUGAUUUUACUAUAUAUACAUUAAUUAAAUUUUAGAAAUUAGACUUUCAUAUCAUUUUACUACAUUAUUUGGUGUAUACUUUUAUGUUUCAUAGAAUUCAAAUCUGAUUUCCGAUAUAACUUUACUAAAUAUUAUCAAAAUAUAUUAACAUUUUAAGAAAAAUAGCCAUAAAUUCAUUGUGAAUAUAAAACCAAAAAAUAAUGUUUAGUUUCUAAUUAUAUAAAAUAUAUAUAUAUACAUAUAUAUAUAUAUAGAUUAUUAAUUUAUUAUUUUAAUGGUACCAUAUAUUUACAUAGAACAUUCUAAAAAAAUAUAUUUUAUUAUUUUAUCGAUAUGUAUACCCAACUCAGGACCAGAAAUUUUUUAUCAGUUUACAGUGUUUAUUAAUUUACCGAGUAUUAAUUUAUAGAUUGUUACUGUACCAUGUAUGUUCCUUUUGAAAUACUAAAACUAAUGCAAAAGAUAGCAAUUUCGUAAAUAAGCCGAAAAACAUAUCUGUAAAUACUCAAUUUAUAGAUACAAAAUAACAUCUGUGUUGAUAAGCAUCGAUAUUUGAUAAUGGAGAAGAUAUAAAAUAUAAAACAGAGAGUAAACUAAAAGAUCAAAAAAUUAUGUAGAAGAAGAAAACCGUUUGAAAUCAUGAUUAACUGAUUUUGAACGUGGAUUCUGAGAAAAUUUAGGUUAGAGUUGCUGGAAAUUAGAGACGAAAAUUUGUUUAAAAUAAAUUUUAUAUUUGGUUUUCAUAAAACAUAUUCCAUAUAUAAAAAUUUAAUUGCUGAGUGACUUGUGCUUUAUUAUAUAAAAGAUAAUGACAUUCAAAUAGUAUUAGGAUUGAUAAUUUAUAGAUUAAGAGUUUUUUUGUCAUCAUUAAGAGAUUUUUUAUAAACAAGAAAUUUUAUAAUUAUUAAAAUUAUAAUUAAAUAUUAUUUUGAAAUUUUAAAUAAUUAAAAAUUUGUUUUAAAUCUACCUAACUAAUUUGCUUUCUUUUUCUAAUCAAGAAAAUGAGAUAUUAGAUAUUUUAAUAUCCUAAUAAAUUUUUAAGUAAUGUGAUUUAGGAAAUGAAUACAAAGAAAACCUUUGUAAAAUUGGAAUUUAUAUAAUAGGAAAUUCGUUUUUGCUAAGUAGGAAAAUUAAUAUAUCUAUUAAAGUGAUUUUAAAAAACUUAUUAAAAUAGAAAAAUUAGUAAUGGCAAUCAUGUAAAAUAAAUUUAAUUCAUCAAGGUUACCCUUGUAAUUGAUCAUCAUAAGAAUUAACCUGAGAAUUAUAUUAUAGAUAUUGUAUUUUAAGAAAUGUUUCAGAAAAUGUUAUAUCUUCCGCAUGUUUAAGGUUAUGGUCAACUUGGAAUAUAAUUUGAACAAUUUGCGAUAUUCUGUCAAUUUCGAAAAGGUCUCUACCAUAUCUAUUUCGCGUUGUGGAAUAUAUUAGGUGCCGACUCAAUAAGAUAUGCAUUGUUGCAGUUUACCAUAUUUUCCUAAGAAUACAAGUAGUGAAAUAUAAAAUUCUGCAAGGACUGGUUCUUGCUGUACAAGAAACAGAAAAUAAGAGAAAACUAAUAAAAGAUGUUAGAAAGAUUCUUAUAGAAAUAGACUUUCCCUUCUAUCGGGAUUGGAAUGUUGUCAUGACUCAUGAUUGGCAAUCAACCCUAAGGUUAAUGAGUUUAAACAUAUCUAGACGACUCAGUCAAGCCACUCCUUGACUCUCCUCCUCUUUGCACAACCAGGGGAGUUUUAUAGAGCCUCUCAAUUGUACACUCGUCUAGACACUCUACCACAAGUAUUGACCAAGUCAGGCCAUGUUUCAUCCAAAAGAUAUAGAUCCGACCCAGUUUGUAAUGGAUUCAACCUAGUUCAGAUUUUGAGAUAUAAGCUUAGCGUUAGGUUUUAUUAACCAGCUAGUCCUUCUUUUUGGGUGCAAAUCUAAUCCUUUUGGAUAUAAGAUUGAUAUUUAUCUCUUCUUCUUUUAAGAGGAUCUCUUCAUCUGUACAUUUACAAUUAUGCAAUUAAGCAUGGUUUAUUCAGUUUCAUCAUGUGCAUUAGUUUUGAUUGCUUCAAUUAUAAAAGAAUUACGCACAAAUAGUUAAAUCACAUAAAAAUGCACACAAUAGAAUAACAGAAGAAAUUAAAUAACAAAAGAAUAAUGAUGCCACAUCAAUUUGAAGGAAAUAAUAAAAUA